CAUUUAAUUCCUUCUUUUUAGGCUAAUACGUUGUUUUCCUCUAUGGUGCAAAUCCCAUUUUCUCCUAUGGGUUCCAAUACACUUUCACCUUCGGUUUCAAACUACAAUUCCUCAGUCACUUGUUACCAGAUACUCAAUUCUGUGACUUUGGUCACUUCAUUCCAUUAAUCUGCAUGAUGCAUUCAUAUUCUACCUUCAUUCACUCCCCGUGAU
This 213-nucleotide long non-coding RNA is filed under the name Lathyrus oleraceus (garden pea). Its description in RNAcentral is "Pisum sativum (pea) long non-coding RNA (PSAT_LNC019662)". The record is from RNAcentral. Lineage: Eukaryota; Viridiplantae; Streptophyta; Magnoliopsida; Fabales; Fabaceae.